UACCAGACUCCUACGGGAGGCAGCAGUGGGGGAUAUUGCACAAUGGGGGGAACCCUGAUCCAGCGACGCCGCGUGAGUGAAGAAGUAUUUCGGUAUGUAAAGCUCUAUCAGCAGGGAAGAAAGAAAUGACGGUACCUGACUAAGAAGCCCCGGCUAACUACGUGCCAGCAGCCGCGGUAAUACGUAGGGAGCGAGCGUUAUCCGGUAUUAUUGGGCGUAAAGGGUGCGUAGGUGGCAUAGUAAGUCUUUUGUAAAAAUGCUGGGCUCAACCCAGUAGGGCAAAAGAUCCUGCAAAGCUAGAGUAUUACAGAGGCAAGUGGAACCACAUGUGUAGCGGUAAAAUGCGUAAAUAUAUGUAAGACCCC
Molecule: ribosomal RNA, 365 nt
Filed under: uncultured bacterium
Lineage: Bacteria
Description: bacterial SSU rRNA
Rfam family: Bacterial small subunit ribosomal RNA
Source: RNAcentral